This is a long non-coding RNA of Peromyscus californicus insignis, 1592 nucleotides long. RefSeq lists it as uncharacterized. NCBI's taxonomy places the organism in Eukaryota, Metazoa, Chordata, Mammalia, Rodentia, Cricetidae. The transcript is spliced from 2 exons. The record is from RefSeq and is a predicted model, not a curated record.
GCACUACAGGCGCUCUGGCCUUUGGAUUCUGUACCUGUGCCAGCAAUUCCCAAAUUCUCCGGCUUUUUUAGCGAGUGGCCCUUCGCCCUACCUGUCAGCACUAGUUUUUACCAUUUGCCACAUCGCUGCAAGUUUGCCUCAUUCCAAGUCCAGGAAGUGUAGACUAUGCAAAGACCUCCGUCAUUCUAAUUCCCUGCAGGCUUCUCCUCUUCUGCAAAGUUUAUUCUUUGGAAGUUCGGUAUCAUCACCCUGACUCACUGGUUUUGUGUGUGAGCACUGCCCGUGCGUGUAAAAAUGGUGAAACGUCCUUGGUGUUCCACCUGCAUGGUUAUCUGUGUAUCACAUGCCCACAGAGGUCAGAAGUUGGAUCUCCUAGCACUGGAGUUACAGGUGAUUGUGAGCUGCCAUGUUGGUGCUGGUCAUUGUCUAGAAGAGCUGCCAGUGGUCUUAACCACUUAGCCAUCUCUCCAGCCAUUAACUACAGAUCUUAAACUGCCUCUCCUCUGACGCUCUUCUCCACUCAUCGACCAGCUGCAUCCAGAUCACUCAUGCCAGGAUGGGGCAGGACACUGUCCCUUCUCAGAGACGUCUGCCCCCAACCAGACACAUACCUUAAGGGCCACCAUAGAGUGGCUGAGAGUCCGCUCUGCACUAGCCAGUUGACUCAUCCCAGACAGUUACUCAACCUCACUGAACCUCAGGUUUCUCUCUUUACGAGAGGAGAAUGCCAGACCUGGUGGUGAACACCUGGAAUCCCAGUACUUAGGAGGCCGCGUGAGGCAGGAUGACCGCCGCUAAGUCAAAGCCAGCCAGGGCACCGGGGUGAACUCUGGCCUGGCAUAUAGAGCGAACCUCUGUCUCAAAAAGGGAAGAGUGGGAAUAUGAUGCUGGUUGACAUGCAAAGCAGCCCUUAGUACAUUACACACACAGAAAGGGCGUACAUAGACCUCUGUGUGCAGAGGUGUUCUGUCCUGCUAGAAACACACACUAGUCCCUUCGUGUCCUUUCUUAGGGCCCCAGGCUGGGGUAGGCUGGUCUUCACUCCUCCACCUACUCUACGUCUCGGGGCUCACUCUCCCAGCUACUAGGCUCACAACCCAACCCGUUCCUCACGAGCAAAGUGGAGAUAGACACUCUAACCGUUCUUGUAGCAGUUUUGCAGACAGGAGCAGAGACUGCUGGUCUGUCCAGCCUCUUCAGCCAGCCAGAAGCACUGACCUGAAGACUGGACCUGAGGCUGAACCAAUCUUCUCUGGAAGAGGGCUGGGGGCGGGGCUCUCCUGAGCCCUGUGCAGACCCCUGCAUCUGAGUCUGAGGACCCUCCCCUCCAAGAGUAACAAACAUUCAAAUGCACCCAUGUCCCUCAUUCAAUGUAACUCUUCUUUAGUUUAAACUAAAGGGGCCUCUGUUGACUUGCUUUUGAAGUUGCUCUUGAAGUUACCCGACUAUGAGUAACUCAUUUAGUUUAGAACUGUCUAUGACUACAAUCAUGCUGUGGAUUCUGGAGCGUUUGCCAAAAAUCCAAUUUACAAAUUGUUUUCAAAUAUAAUGACAUUUGUAUGGAUAUGAAAAUUAAUAAAUAUUGAAGUUGA